CGGAAAGAGAGGGAUUCGAACCCCUCGGUA
Molecule: transfer RNA, 30 nt
Filed under: Costesia spongiosa
Lineage: Eukaryota; Viridiplantae; Streptophyta; Bryopsida; Gigaspermales; Gigaspermaceae
Description: partial tRNA-Ser
Source: RNAcentral